AACCAUAGAAACCUGCGGAGUACCUGCGGAAGGAUCAUUACCGAUGCUCGGGCGGACGCCCGGCCGUCCCGCUCCGGCCCGAAAGCCGUGCAGCGGACGGACGGCCCGUCCCCGACCCUUCACAAACCCAAACCGUGCACCUUUGCGGAGGAGGCGGGCCCCGCCGCGGGCCCGUCCGACCCCCGCACCAACAGACCCUUUUACGCGUUUGAGAACGAACAGGGCGUGCCCGUCGGGCCG
Molecule: unclassified non-coding RNA, 240 nt
Filed under: soil metagenome
Description: partial contains 5.8S ribosomal RNA, internal transcribed spacer 2, and large subunit ribosomal RNA
Source: RNAcentral